CCUACGGGAGGCAGCAGUGGGGAAUAUUGCACAAUGGGCGAAAGCCUGAUGCAGCAACGCCGCGUGAAGGAUGAAGGGUUUCGGCUCGUAAACUUCUAUCAACAGUGACGAAAGACAUGACGGUACCUGACUACGAAGCCCUGGCUAAAUACGUGUCCGCAGCCGCGGUAAUACGUAGGGGGCAAGCGUUCUCCGGAAUUACGGGGUGUAAAGGGUGGGUAGGCGGGAUGGUAAGCCAGAUGUGAAAGCCUUGGGCUUAACCAGAGUAUUGCAUUUGGAACUAUCAAGCUAGAGUACCGGAGAGGAAAGCGGAAUUCGUAGUGUAGCGGUGAAAUGCGUAGAUAUUAGGAAGAACACCGAUGGCGAAGGCGGCUUUCUGGACUGAAACUGACGCUGAGGCACGAAAGCGUGGGGAGCGAACAGGAUUAGAUACCCUUGUAGUC
RNAcentral lists this ribosomal RNA (443 nucleotides) under uncultured bacterium. Its description in RNAcentral is "partial 16S ribosomal RNA". It matches the Rfam family "Bacterial small subunit ribosomal RNA", at positions 338 to 795 of the family's 1533-position model. The record is from RNAcentral.